GCCCGGGUGGCUCAGUGGUUGAGCAUCUGCCUUUGGUUCAGGUUGUGACACUGGGGUCUUGGGAUCGAGUCCCACAUCGGGCU
Molecule: transfer RNA, 83 nt
Filed under: Canis lupus familiaris (dog)
Lineage: Eukaryota; Metazoa; Chordata; Mammalia; Carnivora; Canidae
Also listed under: 1 other name
Rfam family: tRNA
About the family: Transfer RNA (tRNA) molecules are approximately 80 nucleotides in length. Their secondary structure includes four short double-helical elements and three loops (D, anti-codon, and T loops).
Source: Rfam by way of RNAcentral